RNAcentral lists this small nucleolar RNA (87 nucleotides) under Dichanthelium oligosanthes. Its description in RNAcentral is "Small nucleolar RNA snoR27". It matches the Rfam family "Small nucleolar RNA snoR27". The record is from Rfam by way of RNAcentral. Lineage: Eukaryota; Viridiplantae; Streptophyta; Magnoliopsida; Poales; Poaceae.
CAGGAUAGAUGAUGCAACUGUUAAACUGCGUUAUCUUUCCUGAAUCUUUUAAGGUGCUGAAGAAAACGUUACCAGCUGAGAUCCAUG